UCUUAUUACCGUUACCACUACAUUUGUGUAAUUAUUGGCCUACAAAACAGUUCACAAGCUUUCUCUCAUUUGAUGCUCAAAGCAGCACUUAGCAUGAUGCAAGCUGGACAGGUGGAAUAAUCACAGCCUUUGCUUGAAGAAUUCCCUGCCUGUCAGACCCCGAAGGCUCAAGUCUGUGGACAGAAGAUGUGUGAAUACUGAGCUAAAACAGAGUAUAGGCAAGAGUUUUGUCUGUUCACCACUGGGAUUUAAGAACUUAAAGGCCAAGAACUGGCCUCAAAAGCAAAGGAGUGGUGAUCAUUUUGUAAUGUAUAAAAAUAUCGAAUCACUAUGUUUUGCACCUGUAAAAAAAGAAAAAAGACGAGGCGAAGUCAAUAUAUG
This is a long non-coding RNA of Bos taurus (domestic cattle), 381 nucleotides long. The record is from Ensembl. Lineage: Eukaryota; Metazoa; Chordata; Mammalia; Artiodactyla; Bovidae.